UAUCCGUGACAGUGUGUGUGUGUAAACACAUUUGCACAUAGCUCUAGAUAUCAUCAGAUGUUAAACAAAAUUAUAUUUUUUAGAAAUCAUUUCAUUUAAACAUUUAAAAAAUAAUCAAUGUUUUAUAGGCUAUUUUAUCAAUAUGUUUGUCAGAACAGACAAGCUUAUUUAUUGGCCCACCAAGGACGUAAUGAAUCAAUACAAUAAUAACCAAAUCCUGUAAUCCACAGUAAAGAGAAUUCAGUGCAGCGCAGAAAUAGGGGGAUGAUCCGCUGCAGAGAGAUGUCUGUCUGUCUAUCUAUCUAUCUCUAGCCAGAUCUGGGAGAGCAGGGCUGAUGGUUAUGCUGCCUUCAUUUUAGGAGUGAAGAGCAUCAAAAACAGCAAGAUGUACAACCUGCAGCAGUACAUCCUCAAGCAGCACUGACAGACACAGAAGGUCCGUGAUGAAACUCUGCCAUGUCCAGCAGCCAGCAGCCUCUGUCCCAGGCUUUGAUCAGGAUGUUGUGCAGUGGAACUGCUCCCACCAGCAGAAAACAUGCUGUCCCUGUGACUUUAUCCACCUCAGCACACAGUCAUGGAGAGGCUGAGUAUAUCUUGCCUUGUCUUCAUGGUUGCCCCAACCCUCAGGUAACUUCUUCUGGCAGGCCAAGAAUAAUCGUUGGCACCAGCGGCCAGUACUAUAUUUUAGCCUCACGGCUCACCUGCAAGGCUUGUAAGAAGUACUGGUAUGCUGACAAGCCCCAAUGGCUGGAGAAGCUACCAAAGCACUUUAGCAACAUUGUGCCAGCCUUCCUGACACACAAAAAGGCCAUCUGCAAAUCUGUGAUGGAUGAGCUGAGGAGCAUUGGCAGAUCAACAGGGGACGUGUCCAAGCAGCUGACAGAGGCGCUCCAUCGUAAAUGUGAGAGCUCACCUGGCCUAACUGCUGAGUGUGCAGAACAGCAGGGGUGCCACUUUAAAUGUUUAAAAGGGGAAAAUGUAAUUGUUUUGUAUUAUGCACACACACUGUAGGAAAAAAUUCCGAACCAAAUACGGGACGUAUUGUUUUGGAACCGUUUCGUCUUGAAGGGCUUCGAUGAUUAAGGGGAAAGGCAAGGAUAAUUAAGAGAUAAUAUUGAAACAAUUUAGUAAGAAUAUUUUAUCCGUCCAAACUUCAAAGUUUCUAGUACCAGGCAUGUUCAUUCUAUCCUGUGUGUUCCUGUCAUGGUAAAGCAGCACCAUCUGCAGGCUUUGAUGAGUUGCAAACUGAGGAUUGCUUUUAACGUUUUUAAAAUUUGAAGUGUUGAAAGUGAAAGUGAAGUGUUUAACAAUGACUGUAUUUGUUUCAUGGCAGGAUGGAAAAUCCUCUGAUGCAACAUGUUAUGUUAUUGUCAUACAAAAAGUGAAGAUGGUUAUAUGAAGACAAAAUAUGCAGCUUGAAAACUGUUCCUGGAAUGCAACGCUAAUGUGUUAUUUAUAUGGGUAUUGUGUGACUACUCCCAGUAAUGAAAUGAUUAGGCAUGUUGUCCUCACAUG
This is a long non-coding RNA of Siniperca chuatsi (mandarin fish), 1515 nucleotides long. RefSeq lists it as uncharacterized. Lineage: Eukaryota; Metazoa; Chordata; Actinopteri; Centrarchiformes; Sinipercidae. The transcript is spliced from 2 exons. The record is from RefSeq and is a predicted model, not a curated record.